GACGUAGGGCGCAAGCGUUGUCCGGAUUUAUUGGGCGUAAAGAGCUCGUAGGCGGCGCGUCGCGUCGGCUGUGAAAACCCGCAGCUCAACUGUGGGCCUGCAGCCGAUACGGGCGGGCUAGAGUUCGGUAGGGGAGACUGGAAUUCCUGGUGUAGCGGUGAAAUGCGCAGAUAUCAGGAGGAACACCGGUGGCGAAGGCGGGUCUCUGGAUCGGUACUGACGCUGAGGUGCGAAAGCGUGGGGAGCAAACAGG
Molecule: ribosomal RNA, 253 nt
Filed under: uncultured bacterium
Lineage: Bacteria
Description: partial 16S ribosomal RNA
Rfam family: Bacterial small subunit ribosomal RNA
Source: RNAcentral